UGACCAGCUAGAAGGGUGGGAUGAGAGGGAGAUGGGACGAAGUGUCGGAGGGAUGGGGCAUGGGUGAACCCAUGGAUGAUUCUUGUUGAUGUUGGACAGAAAACCACGAAAUUCUGUAAAGCAAUCAUCCUUCAGUUAAAAAACAAAGUGCAAAAAAAGAACCACCUGGCCUAUGGUGUUUCUGUUUCAGUAGCCUGAAAGGGCAGACACAGGACAAGUGAGAAUUACAGCACAGGUGAAUUAAGGUACCUAAUCAUUCGGCCUUAAGAUAGGGAAAAGACGUGGAGUAUCUGGCUGUGCCCAAUGCCAUCUCACUACAAGGAGCCUUAGACGUGGAGGAGGACGCAGACCCGUGUCAGAGAUGCACACUGAGAGGCUAAACCAGCCUCUCAUCAGCUCACACUGAUGUGCAGAGGCCAUAAGCCAAGGAGGGCAGGCAGCUUCUAAGCGUGAGAAGGAAGCAAGCCUCCAGAAGGAACGGCAUGCUGCUGACACCGUGAUUUGAAGCCAAUGAGACGCAUUUGGGACUUUGGAUCCUCAGAACCACAAUAACAAAAAUGCCCAUGGUGCAUCUGCCAACUCUUUUUCAUCUCGAGGGUUGUAUUUGGGACUCAGUCUUACACCUCAUAUAUCUUGUAUCCCUUUUAUCCUUUAUUUUUAGUUUGUUUUAUUAUCAUGGAAUGUUUAUCUGCCAUUAAGUGUGGUUUCGUGGUACUGUUUAUAUAAAAUUUUGAUCAUAUUC
Long non-coding RNA from Bubalus bubalis (water buffalo), 742 nucleotides. RefSeq lists it as uncharacterized. The transcript is spliced from 2 exons. NCBI's taxonomy places the organism in Eukaryota, Metazoa, Chordata, Mammalia, Artiodactyla, Bovidae. The record is from RefSeq and is a predicted model, not a curated record.